Molecule: long non-coding RNA, 557 nt
Filed under: Homo sapiens (human)
Lineage: Eukaryota; Metazoa; Chordata; Mammalia; Primates; Hominidae
Description: non-protein coding lnc-BPIFA2-2:1
Source: RNAcentral
AUGACCCUGCGGUGUCUGGAGCCCUCCAGGAAUGGCAGGGAAGGGACGCGGAGCCAGCAGGGAGACCACAGGGUCACUGAGGAGCUGUGCCUGAAGACGGUGCGUGUCUGGCAAGGCCCUGCAGGAGCUCCCACAGGAUGGUACGGGGGAAAUAUGUCCACAGAGCCAAAGAGAAAUUAAAAGAGGCACCAGGAGGAAAUUCCUUGAUUAGAGAUAGCUCCCAUUCAGACGACCUACUAACAAUAUCUGUUAAAACAUCAGCUGGACCAACUAAUCUUCCAAUCAAAUACCAAGAUGGUAAAUUCAGAUUGCACUCUGUCCUAUGUGGCAAGUAUGGUUUCAUCUGAUUGACUGCUAUGUUCAGAUGUGUAAGGAUGAGCAGACGGGUGGGAAGGCCCCAGAACAGCACUGCUCACCUUUACUGACCAAAUCACUCUACCCAUCAGCCAUCUCUAUAGCAGCUCUGUGAACCCACUGCUAACAGACAGUGAUAUCUGGGAACGGCCUUUACCAACAAGACUAAAAGUUAAUUGGAAGAAUAUCAGUUCCAGGUAUAA